CAACAAUGUUGAUAUAUAAAAUUGACAAAGAUCUUUAAAAGCUCAAUUUAAUAACGAGAUCAUUUCUUUGGUAGUUUGUUGAAAAGGUACCACACACUGAUGUACUAUUUACAUCUGAUAACGGUAUGUUGUCAUGUAUUUACUUAAAGUCUAUGCUAAUGUGUUUAAAUAAUAGAGCAGCACGAAAAUAGCGAAAAAGGGAAUCAAUAAAUAGAUUAAGAUUCUCCGUUAAUGGAUCAUGCAUUACUAUAAGCUUAAGACUCUGUUCAAACUUGUGGUUAUCAAGAUUGAGGGAUAAGCACUCUCUUAUUUAUUCAUGCCAAGAGAAACGGUUGUUCUCUUCUAAAAAACUUUUGAGACAUUACUGCAGGAGAUGCGGGGCGAGCAUCAUUAGAUACUUCAGUAGAGUGGGAGGCUGAUGAAAUCAAAAACUUCCCUUUCAGCAUUCCUGACCCCGCCGCCAAACGUCAAAGUUGAGUGGGCGGCGAGCUGGCAGAAAUGUUCGCUCCGUUCUGAGUUCAAAUUCCACCGAGGUCGACUCUGCCUUUCAUCCUUUCAGGGUCGAUUAAAUAAGUACCAGUUACGCAAUGAGGUCGAUAUAAUCGACUUAAUCCGUUUGUCUGUCCUUGUUUGUCCCCUCUGUGUUUAGCCCCCUGUGGGUAGUAAAGAAAUAUAUUUACACGUUGAAACUUGUUUAAUUAUUUUUCACUUCAAAUACAAUGUAAUUAUAUAGACGUGGAAAAAUAUAUUUCCACAUCCUGAUUUUAAUCUACUGCACUGAAAUGUCUAUCUGUUUUGUAAUUUGUACAUGUCUAAGCUCAUAACUUGACUUCUUAAUAACAGGGGUUCUCACCCAUAUUUUAUCUAUGGACCCCAUUGAUUACUAUUAUAUUCUGGUGGACUUCCAUAACCAAACUAGUUUUAUAGAAACUUCAUAGAAAAUUCCUACUUUGUUUUUCACACAGUAACUUGUGUAGAUUGAACUAUGUAAAAUGUUGAAAGAAACCUAACUGUUUCUUGCAAUACAUACCAAGUAAAUUUUUUUAGGGGACCCUAAAAUACUAUUCAGGAUCCUCAGUUUACUAUUCUGUUGCAUGGACUCUGGUUGAAAACCACCGUUCAAUAACAUAUGUUGCCCUGACUGUAUUUGCUGAUGUAAAUAAAUAUUCAGUUAGUCAAACAACCGUAUUAGUUUAAAAAAUUAGUUUGCUUUUUUUUUUUCUGGAAAAUACAGAAUAUAACUUCAGACAUGUUUUCCUGAUAUUUUAAAUCUUUGCCUCUUUUUUCAGUAUCUACUCUAAUCUAGGAAAACAUAAAAAGUGAUUCUAUUUCAAUAGACAUCAUUAUCGUAUAUAAACCUGUUUAGUACCAGCAUUGUAAAGUUUGUAGUUGGCGAUAACUUUCCCCUUUAAUAUAUUCCUCAAUUCACAUUUUUGGGCAGAAUUCUGGUUUAAGCCCCCUAUAUAACCCCUCGUAAGUUAUUUAGAUUUUGAAAUUUUCAGAAAACUUUUGCGAAUUUGUGUUCUGCACAUAGGAAUUCUGCCAAACCUUGCACAACAAGCCAAUCAGGAAACUUAUAAGCAUUCAUUCAAUUUGUUAGAGAUAGCUACCAAAUCUUUCUCAGAUUGUACUUAACUUUUUGAAAAAAGGACACAUUGGAUAAUAUUGCCUACUAGAUUAGAAGCUGUCCAAUAGGGUGUCUUUUAAGAUGGCUCCUGCGGAGGACAGGUGACUUUUAAGCUAGCUCCUGUGGAUGGCUCUUGAUUGGGACUUAAGCCCAACAAUGACACUUCAUGCAUUGAGUACAUAUUAGAUUUUAUUAAACUUGACCAAUAUUUUUCAAGCAAUGAACAAUUUUCAUCAAAACAAUGAUAUAAUUUGUUUAUUUGGAACUUAUUGCAAAGCUGCAGGAUAAACAACAUUUUUGGUCUUCCCAUUCAGGAUCAGUACAAAUAGCUUGUUUGCCUUCCCAACUCUUGAACAACCAACAAAGAGCUGGCCAUGAGAAAAUCAGGGUUCCAUCAGAUGAAACCCAGUUACUUUCAAUGAUUGUCCUUAGGACAUAUUGAUUGACAUUGCAUAGCUCACUCUCACUGGAAACUGAAGUCUUUUGAGCUCAAAAUGAAGAUCUGGAAGAAUUAAGGGGAUUCUUGGAAUUAAAACUCUUUUCUCCUUUCCUGGACCAGUAAGGAUCUCUGCUUCCAAGAGAUGAGGAAACCUCUUCUUGACAAUUAACCUUGUUUCUUUACAAAGCUUUGGAGGAUCUAGAUUUCUCAAUAGCACAACUGGCACAUUUUCUUUUAGUUCCAGCUUGUUUCAUGGCAUUCCAGGAGGAUUCAAUGAGUUCAGGAACUCUAUUGGAUAAUACAUUUCCUAUUCUUGUACAAACUACCUUGUCAAUGGAAAAGCACUUUAUGCUUUCUUUUGAAAUUUCUUGGAGAAGUUUUAGUUGAUGCUAUUCACAGCUUGAUUCUUGGGAGCUAAUAUGGCUCUCUCUCAAAGCCAGAUUGAAUCCAUGAAGUGGUGUUUAAUGUUUGGAUAAACAUGGUUAAUCCAGUCUUGGAUACUUGAGACUGAAACUCCGAGAGUAAAAUAUCUCCAUUUUGAUGGUUCCAUUGCCAAUCUGCAACAACAAAACAGCAAAUCAUCCUGCUUCAAGGUCAUCUGUGAUUCUAACUCUCAUGUUAGUUUUCAGGCUGAGUCUUUGAACAUGGCUUCAGAUGUAAGAAUUUUUCAGGCAAGCAUUGAUUUCAUCAGUUGGAGUUCCUCUUGCAAUGACUGGUAAUGUUUGUCUAAAAUCACCAGUGAGUAGCACAGUGAUACUGACCAUGAUUUGUGAAUUCUGUCUAAUGUAUUGGAUUGUUUUGUCCAGGGCCUCAAAUACUCAAUUGUGUGCCAUGGUACAUUCAUCCCUGACAAUGAAGCUUGUCUCCUCCAGUAGUUUAGCCAAGUUGGUUCCUCUCUUGAUGUUGCAAAUAGGAGUUUAAUUGCAGUUCAAAUCCAAUGGAAGUUUGAAGGUGUUGUAUGCCCUCCAGGCAAGAGGGUAGCAGCAAUUCCAGACGAUGAUACUACUAGAGCUACUUUUCUUUGGAGUCUCCAGGUGCAUCCAAGAAGAAAAUCCCUCAUUGUUGUUGUUGAUGUCAUCAAGGACCUUCUGAUAUAUUUGCUGUUGGUCUUGUUUCACCAGGGGCUCAUUGUUUUGAACACAUUACUGCAGUUCUUCCAUGUUGUAUCCUGUUUCUCUCAAUAUGACUUAUCUCAAGUUCUCCAGUCCAUCUCUCUGGAAGGCAGAUUUGAACUCUUGAACAUAUGAAUUUGUUUGGUGAAGAAAUUUCUGUAAGUUCAGAAUUGUGCUUAGUUUCAAAUCCUGAAGGAGGUUAUUUCUUAUCUCAGCUUGGACUUGGUGAUCUUCUAGAAAAUAGAUUUGGAGAAACUUCUGGGGUUCAUUUGGUAGAGGCCACAGACUGCCAAUCCAGUGGUAUACUUGUCCUUGGAUUCUGAAUGUGGACUACCAUCCAGGCAGAGUUGUAUCAUUUGCUCCAAAAGAAGUCAUUGUAAAUGCAUUGUUGUAAGCUCUAAUCUUCUUCGGGAGAUCCUGGGACUCCUGGGUGGAUCUAGCCAGCAAUAACUUCAGUGGUUCUGGUGCUGGAAAGUCCUGGAGUUAGAUCUUUCGAUUGGAGCAACAGGAGCUUUGGGAUUCAUCCUUGAACUUCAAUGCUCUACAAUAGUUGCGUUCUUUGUCUAGCUCUUCAACAAUCACAAUAGGUAGGGAGGAGUAGUCUUGGUUGGCUUUCAUAUUGAAAAGCAAGUUUCUCAAGCUGGACUGCAUUCUAUCUUGAUCUUUGCUGUGCAACAUUGGAAGCUCUCCUGGUUUCUGAUUCCUCUAGUGAUUCUGAAUCCCUUCCUCUUCUCAUGUUGGCUACAUUGGAAGAGUAAAUUUAUUCAAUAAAAUUGCCAUUGGCUUCAUCCAUACAAGAGUAUGACAUCUCUCACAUACUCUUGUAAUCUUAUCCUGAGCACUUAUAACAAAUUUCAUCAAUAACUCUUGUGAGAGUAUUGAUAAAAUGUCUUCUUCACUUGCUACAUUUAUUAAUAUUUUCCUAGUUUGUCAAACUACCACAUUGUUAAUUUCCAUGCCAGUAUGGAAAACGAGCUUUAAAUGAUGAUGAUGAUGAUAUUUGUUAACAGUAAUGAAUGUAAUAAUAAAAAAAUUUCAUUGUUAAAAUUUAAUUGCUGUCAGUCAUUUCAUUUUACCAAGCUCUCUGAUCCUACUAUACCACUUCAUGACUUACCAAUAUCUCAAAAGUUAUUUGUUCAGUUUUUGCUUCAGGUAUUAUUGACGCAAACAAUGAAACAUAUUUUCAUUUACCAACUCUACAUUUUACCAACCCCCCAGCCAGCAAUGUAACUCUUCUUUGAAUCUCCUACUCUGCAUUGGCUCUUUCAACCUUGUGGACUGGAUAUGUUUGGGUGAUGAAAGUUGAGAGAUGCCUGAGUGGAGUUUGUAUAAGAUCAGCCAGUUCUAUGUAACUUAAAUAGUAGAAAAGCAGAGAAGAGACAGCUUGUCUGUGGCUCAGAGGAAGGAGUGUGUUUGUGAGUAACUUUACGCCCAUCUUCCAGUCAGACACUGCUGUUGUAUUUAGCUACUGUAAAUGUGGGUGCAGUACUCCAUUGUGGCUCUUACUAGAGCCUUGUAGAAGGUCAUUUGUUCAUGAGAGCUGGAGUAUUUUUUGAUCCUGAAGUAAAAGACCAGUCUUUGAGAUGUAGUUAUUGCUAUGUUUAUUAAUAUAGAAAUGUAGUAAAAUUUGCACUAUUGAAUCUUGACUUUUUAUAUAACUUGCAUAUCUUAUACAGUUUUUCUUUUAUUUCAGAAUAUCUCAUGGACUUGGAAUAUAAAUCUGUGGAGGAAUUACUGUGAAUUAUUUCCUCUGAGCUGUGAUUGUUACCAAUAAUUUAUUUGCUAUUUGAAAUCUG
Molecule: long non-coding RNA, 4974 nt
Filed under: Octopus vulgaris (common octopus)
Lineage: Eukaryota; Metazoa; Mollusca; Cephalopoda; Octopoda; Octopodidae
Source: RNAcentral